Molecule: non-coding RNA, 2318 nt
Organism: Vicugna pacos (alpaca)
Lineage: Eukaryota; Metazoa; Chordata; Mammalia; Artiodactyla; Camelidae
Source: RefSeq, a predicted model, not a curated record
GAUCACAGUGAGGAUAAAAUGAGAUAAUACUUUCAAAGUGUCUAGCAGAAGGCCAGGAACAGAAUAAGUGCUCACAAAAUUGGAAUGAUAAGAUCAUUGUAAGUGCUCCGAAAAUCCUUACUAGUGGUUACUGUUAGAAUGAGUACCUACCACCACAUGCAUAAGUCCUUUGGCGAUAGGUAGUAUCGCCCCCAUCUUUCUGAUGAGAAAACUGAGGCAUUGCAGGAUUUGCCCAAGGCAGGUAGUUAGGACACAAUCAAGAUUUCAACCCUACGCUAGAAGAUCUAUGGGCACCCAGACCUGGAUGGGGGAACUUAGCGGCUGGGUGGCAGAGAUGAGACCUGUGUGUACCGAUACCCAGAAUAAGAGAUGGAGAGUGAAGCCCUGACAGGCACAGUGCAGGGGUUGGGGGAGGAGACGCCGGAGCAGCAUGUGUGCACUUCAGAGCAGCCGUGGAGGCCUGAAUGCAAAGUCACUGCCAGGUGGCUCUAGGUGGAGAUGCAGCCUUGGGUUUUAGAACGUGAGGUGAAGCCAGGCGCCCUCCCAGGAUGGGUGAGGAGAGAGGAGAUGCAGAUACUCCAGCUGGACCAGUGACUCCAGCAGGUGCUUGCAGACGACUGGCUUGCCAGGCACCAGCCCAAGAGCAGUGGGUGUGCGCCGCCAAGCCUGCGUGCGGCCCUGGCGCCCUCUGCCGGCUUCUCCCGGAGCAACAACUUAGCACCCAGCUUUCUCCAGCCGGCCCUUCUGGUGGGACAGAACUCCCAAGGAAACAGGGCCAUCACUGCCCGGACGAGUUUCCUGUGGCUGCCAUAAGAAAGCACCACAGACAGUGUGCUGGUUUAAAAAAACAGAAAUCUGUUUUUUGUUUUUGUUUUUGUUUUUGUUUUUGUUUUUCCAAUUCUGGAGGUUGCAAAUACAAAAUCAAGGUGUCAGCAGGGCCGUGCUCCCUUUGAAGGCUCCUGGGAGGAUCCUUUCUCUUCUCUUUCAGCUUCUGGUGGCUGCCAGCAGCCCUUGGCUUGUGGAUGCAUCACUCUACUCUCUGCCCCUGUGAUCAAAUGGCCUUUUCCCCCGUGUGUCUGUGUCUCCAAAUCUCCCUCCCUAGAAUGCUUCCAGUCAUUACAUUAGGGUCCACUAAUUAACCAGUUACAUCUGCAAAGACCCUGUUUCCAAAUAAAGUGACACUCCCAGGUUCCAGGAUUUAGGACUUCAACAUAUCUCUUUGGGGGACACAGUUCUCCCCACAGCACUGCCCAUAUAGCAUCUUUGUUCAAGUCACAUAAAGACACCCCCUCCUGAAGGCAGGCAUGGCUGCAAUAGUCAUGCACAGGCUGGGUCUGAGCACCUCACUCACCCCUGAGCCGGGCACGCUUGCACAGUUAACAACCUGCACAACUGUAAGCAGCAGCCCUAUUCUGGAAACUCUCGUUUAAAAGCUAAGCAUCCAUCCCAGGUAGAAGGUCCACUUCAACCUGGGCCAAAGGUGCCCAGAGCUCAAAGGAGGGGCCUGAGUGGCCUCACCCCGAGGGGUGGGGUGGCGAGGCAGGGCCUGCAGCAGGCGAGGCCGUAAGUGAUGCAUUAUCUGCAGGGAAUUUAAGAACAGCAACAAGGCUGACCUAAAAGUUGGUCUGUUUCUUAUUAUCACCAUGCAUCCACUAUUUUAAACAAUGUCAGUCAUGAAACUCUCCUCCUCCACCCAAAUCUGCUGGUUUAAGUUCCAAACAACUGCUGUUAUCAUUGACUUGUCAUCACAUACGGAAGCUUCAGACCAGCACACACUCAUUACUCACCUUUUCACAAACACCGUGGCCUGCUGGAAGUUAUCCAGAGAGCUGCAAGUUAGCAGCUGGACCCGACAUACACAUUCAUCUUGAGCUGGUGAGGUUUGGGGACCACUGGCGAUCACAGCCCCAGUAAGAUCAGAGACAGCUGAGACCAGUGGUAAAAUCAAUGUCCAUCCUGAAAGCAGAGUGACUGUAAAGACAAAGACAGAUCUCAGGCUCCUUCAAACCUGCUGUGCUGCUGGACACUGGGAGUGUUUAUUCGUUUGUAAGCCUUACAACAAUGAAAUGGAGAGCCAAGUGUGAGAUGUGACAGGUCUGUAUCCUGAAUGUGGUGGUUACUACGCAGGUGAUAAAACGGCAAAGGAACAACACACGUGGACCAACAUCAACUUCUUGCUUUUGAUUUUGAUUCACUGUAGUUAAUCUAAGAUGCCACUAGGGGAGCAGGGUGGAGGGUAUCCAGGGACCUCUCUCUAUCACCUUUGCAACUUCCUCUGAAUCUAUAAUAUAGCUCAAAAUAAAAAGUUAGAAAAGUUA